This 89-nucleotide transfer RNA is filed under the name Candidatus Rokubacteria bacterium GWC2_70_16. RNAcentral describes it as "tRNA-Leu". It matches the Rfam family "tRNA". Rfam says of the family: Transfer RNA (tRNA) molecules are approximately 80 nucleotides in length. Lineage: Bacteria; Candidatus Rokuibacteriota. The record is from RNAcentral.
GCCGGGAUGGCGGAACUGGCAGACGCGAAGGUCUCAAAAACCUUUGGGCGGCAACGCCCGUGCGGGUUCGACUCCCGCUCCCGGCACCA